Molecule: small nucleolar RNA, 109 nt
Filed under: Cervus elaphus hippelaphus
Lineage: Eukaryota; Metazoa; Chordata; Mammalia; Artiodactyla; Cervidae
Rfam family: Small nucleolar RNA U13
Source: RNAcentral
GAUCCUUUUGUAGUUCAUGAGCGUGAUGAUUGGGUGCUCACGCUGGUGCGUGACAUGUGCCUCCCUCCAAACAUUGUUACGACACUGGCACAUUACCCGUCUGACGUGA